Molecule: ribosomal RNA, 286 nt
Filed under: uncultured soil bacterium
Lineage: Bacteria
Description: partial 16S ribosomal RNA
Rfam family: Bacterial small subunit ribosomal RNA
Source: RNAcentral
AGGACGAACGCUGGCGGCGUGCUUAACACAUGCAAGUCGAACGAGGCCGUUCCUUUCGGGGAAUGAGUCGAGUGGCGGACGGGUGCGUAACACGUGAGUGACCUGACCUUGUGUGGGGGACAACCCGGGGAAACCCGGGCUAAUACCGCAUGGGCGCAGUGCCUUUCGGGGGUGCAGCGUGAAAGCCGGCCUAUCCAUGGAAGCUGGCGCGCAGGGAGGGGCUCGGCGGCGUAUCAGCUUGUUGGUGAGGUAACGGCUCACCAAGGCGACGACGCGUAGCGGGUCU